GGGUUUAUUGAUGAAAUUGAAGGGCCAAAGAUAGUUGGCACUAUUGGCACAAGAUUCUGGAAAUUAUUGAAAUUUAUUUUAAAUAAUAAUAGCCAACAUCGUAUAUCGGUUUUAGCAUGCGACGAAAACGUUGAUCGUAUAGAACAUCUUAUACAGUUGAAUCAAGUUAUAGGUGUUAUAUAUGCAAAUGGUAGAAUACGAAAUAAAUAUCCUACACAUUUUAAUAACGGAACUCUUCAACAUGAACUUAUUGUUUAUGAUCAUACUGUAAUAGUCAACCUGGGUCCAUUUGAACGAACCUAAUUUAACCGUUAAUUGAAUCGGUUCAACCGGAAGUCGUUUUCCAAUAAUGUAUCCGAGUACUUAAAUUCGUGCAUUCAUAUGUAUGUGAUAUCAAUAGUUUUUUUGUUAUAUAAAUAUAUUUAAAUUUGUGCA
Molecule: long non-coding RNA, 435 nt
Organism: Wasmannia auropunctata (little fire ant)
Lineage: Eukaryota; Metazoa; Arthropoda; Insecta; Hymenoptera; Formicidae
Exons: 2
Source: RefSeq, a predicted model, not a curated record